CCCUGCCAUUUGUACACACCGCCCGUCGCUCCUACCGAUUGAGUGAACCGGUGAAUAAUUUGGACUGCCGCAUUGUUCAGUUCCUGGACAGUGCAGCGGGAAGUUUAGUGAACCUUUUCACUUAGAGG
RNAcentral lists this ribosomal RNA (128 nucleotides) under uncultured eukaryote. Its description in RNAcentral is "partial small subunit ribosomal RNA". It matches the Rfam family "Eukaryotic small subunit ribosomal RNA", at positions 1651 to 1779 of the family's 1831-position model. The record is from RNAcentral.